Phlebotomus argentipes is the source of this 569-nucleotide long non-coding RNA. RefSeq lists it as uncharacterized. The record is from RefSeq and is a predicted model, not a curated record. The transcript has 4 exons. Lineage: Eukaryota; Metazoa; Arthropoda; Insecta; Diptera; Psychodidae.
CGGAUUCCACGAUCCGAAAUCGUCCAUGGAAUAUCUUCCACUUUUCUUCCUAUAAUAGGAAUAAAAUCCUCGGAAUUCCAAGCUAUCCUCCAUGGAUAAAUUCCACUUUAUUCCAAGCAAGAUACCAUGGAAUAAUUCCAUAUAUAUUCCUUUUGGCCAUCCAUGGAUAUUAGAAUGGAAUAUUUUCCAUGGUGAUAAAUCCGCGGAAUAUCCAUGGGUUUUCCACGGAAUAAUUCGCUCUUUGCGCGUCCCCACGCGAUUACGUCAGUCUUGUGAAAUUCUUCUCAUAGGAAAGAACGCGAAAAGUGCUGAAUGUAUGCGAUGGAGACGGCACAGGGACCCCACAGUCAGAGAAGACUCGAGGUUUCCGGACAACGUCAAAGUAGGAGAAACAAUCAAUGAAAAUAGGAUGCGGAAAAGCGGUUACCGGAGGAUCUACUUAUCCGACAGAGUGGACUCAUGACAAGCUUUUUUCAAACAUAUCCGGACCGGUGCGAGAAGACAUCAAAGAGCAUCUCGACUUCCGGCGACCGCGGUAGCAGUCGUCUAGAAAAGUAGCAGUCCCUGGG